RNAcentral lists this ribosomal RNA (271 nucleotides) under uncultured bacterium. Its description in RNAcentral is "partial 16S ribosomal RNA". It matches the Rfam family "Bacterial small subunit ribosomal RNA", at positions 85 to 354 of the family's 1533-position model. The record is from RNAcentral.
UUGAUGGCGACCGGCGCACGGGUGAGUAACGCGUAUCCAACCUGCCCUUUACUAUGGGACAGCCCGUCGAAAGGCGGAUUAAUACCGUACGUUGUCAUGUUGAUGCAUAUUUUCAUGACCAAAGGCUUCGGCCGGUAAAGGAUGGGGAUGCGUCUGAUUAGCUUGCCGGCGGGGUAACGGCCCACCGGGGCGACGAUCAGUAGGGGUUCUGAGAGGAAGGUCCCCCACAUUGGAACUGAGACACGGUCCAAACUCCUACGGGAGGCAGCAG